This is a non-coding RNA of Vicugna pacos (alpaca), 600 nucleotides long. Lineage: Eukaryota; Metazoa; Chordata; Mammalia; Artiodactyla; Camelidae. The record is from RefSeq and is a predicted model, not a curated record.
GCGCGCCCCGAGACGGUGCUUUUGCGCGAGCGAGCUUAAGACAGCUGGCGGCGAAGAGGUCAGUGGAGAAAGCCAGCGCUCGCGGCCCUCGGAAAGAACAUUGAAAUUUGUGAAUAUCUCUGGUUCCUAAUUUUACAUCCUUGGCAAUUUGCAGAAUAUGAUCAGAAAUGGAAAAAAGAAUAAGAAGGUACCCAGAGCUAUAUGAAUAUGGAAUAACAACUUUUUUUUUUAAAGGAAACUGGAAUGUAUCCAUUUUAAGCUGACCUUCCCCAUAGUUGUCUUGUUGCAUUAACUACUUAAUUUAUUGUUGUUGCUGACAGUAAAUGGUUUUGGAAGCAUUUGGAGCUGCCAGUUUGCAAGGCAUAUAAUAAAAUCUUUUGUUAUGCUUCAUUUUCGACAGAACUAUCAUCUAGAUUGAUUUACUGGACUCAACUAGGGGGCUUUUGGCUAUCGGUAGAAGUCAAAUCCAACCUGAAGAGAAUUUACAAGCUGUAAAGGCAGCUCCAAAAGCUUUUCCAAAAAUCUUUUAGAAUAACAAUGUCUCAUUCUUUUUAUCCUCCAUAGUGCAUAGCCUGACUCCUCACAGAUAGCUCAAACUCA